RNAcentral lists this ribosomal RNA (501 nucleotides) under uncultured soil bacterium. Its description in RNAcentral is "bacterial SSU rRNA". It matches the Rfam family "Bacterial small subunit ribosomal RNA", at positions 26 to 518 of the family's 1533-position model. The record is from RNAcentral.
AGGACGAACGCUGGCGGCGCGCUUAACACAUGCAAGUCGAGCGAGAACCGGGGCUUCGGCCCCGGGGACAGCGGCGAACGGGUGAGUAACACGUGGAUAACCUGCCCUCGGCACCGGGAUAGCCCGGGGAAACCCGGAUUAAUACCGGAUGGCCCUUCCGACUUUCGAGUCGGUCGGCAAAGGUAGCUUCGGCCUCCGGCCGAGGAUGGGUCCGCGGCGGAUUAGCUUGUUGGUGGGGUAAUGGCCUACCAAGGCUUCGAUCCGUAGCUGGUCUGAGAGGACGAUCAGCCACACUGGGACUGAGACACGGCCCAGACUCCUACGGGAGGCAGCAGUGGGGAAUCUUGCGCAAUGGGCGAAAGCCUGACGCAGCGACGCCGCGUGAGGGACGACGGCCUUCGGUGUAAACCUCUUUCAGGAGGGACGAAGCUACUCGGUUAAUAGCCCAGAGGUGACGGUACCUCCGGAAGAAGCCCCGGCUAACGACGUGCUAGCAGCCGC